Molecule: ribosomal RNA, 460 nt
Filed under: uncultured bacterium
Lineage: Bacteria
Description: partial 16S ribosomal RNA
Rfam family: Bacterial small subunit ribosomal RNA
Source: RNAcentral
CCUACGGGGGGCAGCAGUGAGGAAUAUUGGUCAAUGGACGAGAGUCUGAACCAGCCAAGUAGCGUGAAGGAUGAAGGCCCUAUGGGUGGUAAACUUCUUUUAUAUGGGAAUAAAAUGUUCCACGUGUGGGAUUUUGUAUGUACAAUAUGAAUAAGGAACGGCUAACUCCGUGACAGCAGCCGCGGUAAUACGGAGGAUCCGAGCGUUAUCCGGAUUUAUAGGGUUUAAAGGGAGCGUAGGUGGAUUGUUAAGUCAGUUGUGAAAGUUUGCGGCUCAACCGUCAAAUUGCAGUUGAAACUGGCAGUCUUGAGUACAGUAGAGGUCGGCGGAAUUCGUGGUGUAGCGGUGAAAUGCUUAGAUAUCACGAAGAACUCCGAUUGCGAAGGCAGCUCACUGGACUGCAACUGACGCUGAGGCUCGAAAGUGUGGGGAUCAAACAGGAUUAGAUACCCCAGUAGUC